AGUGAACGCUGGCGGUAGGCCUAACACAUGCAAGUCGAACGGCAGCACAGUAAGAGCUUGCUCUUACGGGGCGAGUGGCGGACGGGUGAGGAAUACAUCGGAAUCUACUUUUUCGUGGGGGAUAACGUAGGGAAACUUACGCUAAUACCGCAUACGACCUACGGGUGAAAGCAGGGGAUCUUCGGACCUUGCGCGAUUGAAUGAGCCGAUGUCGGAUUAGCUAGUUGGCGGGGUAAAGGCCCACCAAGGCGACGAUCCGUAGCUGGUCUGAGAGGAUGAACAGCCACACUGGGACUGAGACACGGUCCAGACUCCUACGGGAGGCAGCAGUGGGGAAUAUUGGACAAUGGGCGCAAGCCUGAUCCAGCCAUACCGCGUGGGUGAAGAAGGCCUUCGGGUUGUAAAGCCCUUUUGUUGGGAAAGAAAAGCAGCAGGUUAAUACCCCGCUGUUCUGACGGUACCCAAAGAAUAAGCACCGGCUAACUUCGUG
Molecule: ribosomal RNA, 490 nt
Filed under: uncultured bacterium
Lineage: Bacteria
Description: partial 16S ribosomal RNA
Rfam family: Bacterial small subunit ribosomal RNA
Source: RNAcentral